UACGUAGGGUGCAAGCGUUGCCCGGAUUUAUUGGGCGUAAAGGGCGCGUAGGCGGCUCGGCACGUCCGUUGUGAAAUCGCCCGGCUCAACUGGGCGGGGUCAGCGGAUACGGUGUGGCUAGAGCAAGCUAGGGGGCAAUGGAAUUCCCGGUGUAGUGGUGGAAUGCGUAGAUAUCGGGAGGAACACCAGUGGCGAAGGCGGUUGCCUGGAGCUUUGCUGACGCUGAUGCGCGAAAGCGUGGGGAGCGAUCCGG
This 253-nucleotide ribosomal RNA is filed under the name uncultured bacterium. RNAcentral's name for it is "partial 16S ribosomal RNA". It matches the Rfam family "Bacterial small subunit ribosomal RNA", at positions 524 to 776 of the family's 1533-position model. The record is from RNAcentral.